CAGCCGCCACGGUAAUACGGAGGGGGCUAGCGUUGUUCGGAAUUACUGGGCGUAAAGCGCACGUAGGCGGCUGUGUAAGUCAGAGGUGAAAGCCCGGGGCUCAACCCCGGAAUAGCCUUUGAGACUGCAUAGCUUGAACACGGGAGAGGUGAGUGGGAUUCCGAGUGUAGAGGUGAAAUUCGUAGAUACUCGGAAGAACACCAGUGGCGAAGGCGGCUCACUGGACCGUUGUUGACGCUGAGGUGCGAAAGCGUGGGGAGCAAACAGGAUUAGAUACCCCCGUAGUCCCUGUCUCUUAUAC
Molecule: ribosomal RNA, 301 nt
Filed under: uncultured bacterium
Lineage: Bacteria
Description: partial 16S ribosomal RNA
Rfam family: Bacterial small subunit ribosomal RNA
Source: RNAcentral